Molecule: non-coding RNA, 152 nt
Organism: Coturnix japonica (Japanese quail)
Lineage: Eukaryota; Metazoa; Chordata; Aves; Galliformes; Phasianidae
Source: RefSeq, a predicted model, not a curated record
CUGGGUGUAGGCCCCAACAGGGAGUCGGUCCAUCGGAUCCAGGGGCGGAUCGAGUGUCCGCACAGCGCUGCCACCAACGGCGGUUUCUCCCGGAAGGUGAACGGCGGUAAAUUCUGAAGGCAGGAACCGGCAAUAAAGAGAGAAAGAGCGGA